CCAGGCUGCCUUCCAGGAGAAUGUGGGAAGACAGGGCACGUUCCCCUACGGUAUCGACAUCGUAGUAGCAGCUGACUACUUUGCUGUUGGAAACCUGAGCAACUGUUACCUGUCCAUCAGUGUUUACAUCGCCAGUUUCCAGAAUACACCAGGCCCAUGAUAGACCACUUGGUAGCCAUGAAGAUCAACCACCUGGGACGGGGUGAUUCGACAGCUAGCGACAAAGGCUUUGCAUAAUCUGACGCCUCAAGCACCUGAUUAAUAUGGCACAACAG
Molecule: long non-coding RNA, 275 nt
Organism: Salvelinus sp. IW2-2015
Lineage: Eukaryota; Metazoa; Chordata; Actinopteri; Salmoniformes; Salmonidae
Source: RefSeq, a predicted model, not a curated record